Molecule: ribosomal RNA, 207 nt
Filed under: uncultured bacterium
Lineage: Bacteria
Description: partial 16S ribosomal RNA
Rfam family: Bacterial small subunit ribosomal RNA
Source: RNAcentral
UGCGCAGGCGGGAAAGCAGGUCAGAUGUGAAAACCCAAGGCUUAACCUUGGGCCUGCAUCUGAAACCACUUUUCUUGAGUAUCGGAGAGGAAAGCGGAACUCCUGGUGUAGCGGUGAAAUGCGUAGAUAUCAGGGGGAACACCGGUGGCGAAGGCGGCUUUCUGGCCGAAUACUGACGCUCAUGCACGAAGGCCGGGGGAGCAAACA